GGCGUACUGCGCUUCCCGACAGGAGUAAACGCAUCCCCGGGGCCUUAUUGAUCUCUUAGGGAACUGUCCCUGUGAAGGCCUGUGGGCUUUCGCAUAUGGUGCCCACCUACUUUGUAGGUUCCCGGGAUCAAUCUCAUCCAUCGGUUGUCGUGGUCGCCG
RNAcentral lists this non-coding RNA (159 nucleotides) under Rhizobiales bacterium 63-22. RNAcentral describes it as "6S RNA". It matches the Rfam family "6S / SsrS RNA". From Rfam's summary of the family: E. coli 6S RNA was the first non coding RNA to be sequenced, but its function was unknown until recently. It consists of 184 nucleotides that fold into an extended hairpin structure with a large single-stranded internal bulge. The 6S RNA specifically associates with RNA polymerase holoenzyme containing the sigma70 specificity factor. RNAcentral also lists the same sequence under 1 other name. The record is from RNAcentral. Lineage: Bacteria; Pseudomonadati; Pseudomonadota; Alphaproteobacteria; Hyphomicrobiales.